UAGGGAAUUUUGGGCAAUGGGCGAAAGCCUGACCCAGCAACGCCGCGUGAAGGAUGAAGUAUUUCGGUAUGUAAACUUCGAAAGAAUAGGAAGAAUAAAUGACGGUACUAUUUAUAAGGUCCGGCUAACUACGUGCCAGCAGCCGCGGUAAUACGUAGGGACCAAGCGUUGUUCGGAUUUACUGGGCGUAAAGGGCGCGUAGGCGGCAAUUCAAGUCAUCUGUGAAAUCUCCGGGCUUAACUCGGAACGGUCAGAUGAUACUGCUUUGCUAGAGUGCAGAAGGGGCAAUCGGAAUUCUUGGUGUAGCGGUGAAAUGCGUAGAUAUCAAGAGGAACACCUGAGGUGAAGACGGGUUGCUGGGCUGACACUGACGCUGAGGCGCGAAAGCCAGGGGAGCAAACGGGAUUAGAUACCCCAGUAGUCCCUGAGCGGGCUGGCAAGGCGCAU
This 447-nucleotide ribosomal RNA is filed under the name uncultured bacterium. RNAcentral describes it as "bacterial SSU rRNA". It matches the Rfam family "Bacterial small subunit ribosomal RNA", at positions 355 to 825 of the family's 1533-position model. The record is from RNAcentral.